Molecule: long non-coding RNA, 1277 nt
Organism: Passer domesticus (house sparrow)
Lineage: Eukaryota; Metazoa; Chordata; Aves; Passeriformes; Passeridae
Exons: 3
Source: RefSeq, a predicted model, not a curated record
GGGCCGCCAUGUUGGCCCCGAGCCCCACCGGGACCGGGGAUGAGGGAUCGGGAUCGGGGAUCGCGGGAGCGGGUUCCUUUCCCCCCGCCCCCAGAGCCCACAGCAGCUGCGAUCCGUGCCGUAGCCCCUGGAUCCCUGCAAGUGUCCAAGGCCAGGCUGGACAGGGCUUGGAGCGCCCUGGGACAGUGGAAAGGAGAUUUCCUGCUAAGCUUGCAAGGAGUUUCUUCCCAUCCUUGCCUAAGGCAAGCUGAAGCAUGACAUUCCUUAUUCGCAGGCAGCCAUCCCAGCGUGCUUCUGGAAACAGCCAUCACAACACUCCAGCUAAUUUCCCUCGCUAGUCACAGGGAGCUGCUGAAAGUAAAAGAGGAUGCUUCGGCUUUCCACUCCAACCCUGCCACAGGCUAAAAAAGAGGAGGAUAGAGUUAGGAAGAGAGCCAGCAGGAACUUCCUCUGGAGCUUAGACACCAAAGAUCUACUCCAAGUCACAGUGCCACUUGGGUCCUUGGAGAAAAGUCAAGCCUAGACACAAUUUCCAACCUGGUGAUGGCUCCCUCUUCUUCCUCCUGAUCAUUCAGUCUGACCUCCCUUGGUUUUCCUGUCCCCCCCAUCACCCUUCUGUGCUUUAUCUCCCAUUCCCUGUUCUCCAUCUGUCCCACAGUACACUGGUUUACUCCUUUUUGCCAUCAAAAGGAAAACCCCAUCAAACCCACACAGCUCACAGAACAGCUCUGAUGGGACAGGGAAUGUUAAAUUUACGUUACCCCCUCCUGUGUUUUCCUCCAACAUACCUCUUAUUGUGGAGUUUUCUUCUGUUGUUACUGGCUUUUUAAUCCUGGGGAGCCUUGCUUCAGCAGGAACUCCUCGUUCUCUCGUGGCCUCACAGCUCGCUCUGAGCCAGAGCAAGGUAGCUCUCCUCCACUCCUGAGCCCCCCACGCCUGUGUCUGGCUGCAGGAGCCGCUUCCCAGCUUGUCUGCACACCCAACACUUCAUCAAGCCUGCAGCACUCAGGGCCUGGAGAGCUGGAAUCCUGAAGCAGUAAGAGCCAGACUCUUAGAAACAGUUAUUGCUGUUGUUUUGGGCAAAAUCAAGUCCCUGUCCCCUGCCUGGGGGGAAAAACAAGCAAGUGAAGUUCAAAAUGGAGGUCACAAAUGUAAAGUUGGCUUUCUUCUCCAUAUUUACACUAUAUUUUUGCUGAUGGAGAUACAUUGGAUUGUUAUGGCAGUCACUUUACAAUGACUGAGUAAAAUACACCUUUAAAAUAAAACCGCUUGCUGAA